RNAcentral lists this ribosomal RNA (441 nucleotides) under uncultured bacterium. RNAcentral describes it as "partial 16S ribosomal RNA". It matches the Rfam family "Bacterial small subunit ribosomal RNA", at positions 338 to 795 of the family's 1533-position model. The record is from RNAcentral.
CCUACGGGAGGCAGCAGUGGGGAAUAUUGCACAAUGGGGGAAACCCUGAUGCAGCAACGCCGCGUGAGUGAGGAAGUAUUUCGGUAUGUAAAGCUCUAUCAGCGGGGAAUAGGAAAGAAGGUUCCUGAAAAAGAAGCCCCGGCUAACUACGUGACAGCAGCCGCGGUAAUACGUAGGGUGCAAGCGUUAUCCGGAUUUACUGGGGGGAAAGGGGGCGCAGACGGAAAGACAAGUCAGAAGUGAAAGCCCACGGCUCAACCAUGGGACUGCUUUUGAAACUAUAAAACUAGAGUACGGGAGAGGUAAGAGGAAUUCCUAGUGUAGCGGUGAAAUGCGUAGAUAUUAGGAGGAACACCAGUGGCGAAGGCGUAUUACUGGACGGAAACUGACGUUGAGGCUCGAAAGCGUGGGGAGCAAACAGGAUUAGAUACCCUUGUAGUC